AGUGAACGCUGGCGGUAGGCCUAACACAUGCAAGUCGAGCGGCAGCACAGUAAGAGCUUGCUCUUACGGGUGGCGAGUGGCGGACGGGUGAGGAAUACAUCGGAAUCUACUUUUUCGUGGGGGAUAACGUAGGGAAACUUACGCUAAUACCGCAUACGACCUACGGGUGAAAGCAGGGGAUCUUCGGACCUUGCGCGAUUGAAUGAGCCGAUGUCGGAUUAGCUAGUUGGCGGGGUAAAGGCCCACCAAGGCGACGAUCCGUAGCUGGUCUGAGAGGAUGAUCAGCCACACUGGAACUGAGACACGGUCCAGACUCCUACGGGAGGCAGCAGUGGGGAAUAUUGGACAAUGGGCGCAAGCCUGAUCCAGCCAUACCGCGUGGGUGAAGGAGGCCUUCGGGUUGUAAAGCCCUUUUGUUGGGAAAGAAAAGCAGCAGGUUAAUACCCCGCUGUUCUGACGGUACCCAAAGAAUAAGCACCGGCUAACUUCGUG
RNAcentral lists this ribosomal RNA (492 nucleotides) under uncultured bacterium. RNAcentral describes it as "partial 16S ribosomal RNA". It matches the Rfam family "Bacterial small subunit ribosomal RNA", at positions 29 to 507 of the family's 1533-position model. The record is from RNAcentral.